GAUGAACGCUGGCGGCGUGCCUAAUACAUGCAAGUCGAGCGAACGGACGAGAAGCUUGCUUUUCUGAUGUUAGCGGCGGACGGGUGAGUAACACGUGGAUAACCUACCUAUAAGACUGGGAUAACUUCGGGAAACCGGAGCUAAUACCGGAUAAUAUUUUGAACCGCAUGGUUCAAAAGUGAAAGACGGUCUUGCUGUCACUUAUAGAUGGAUCCGCGCUGCAUUAGCUAGUUGGUAAGGUAACGGCUUACCAAGGCAACGAUGCAUAGCCGACCUGAGAGGGUGAUCGGCCACACUGGAACUGAGACACGGUCCAGACUCCUACGGGAGGCAGCAGUAGGGAAUCUUCCGCAGUGGGCGAAAGCCUGACGGAGCAACGCCGCGUGAGUGAUGAAGGUCUUCGGAUCGUAAAACUCUGUUAUUAGGGAAGAACAUAUGUGUAAGUAACUGUGCACAGCUUGACGGUACCUAAUCAGAAAGCCACGGCUAACUACGUG
This 497-nucleotide ribosomal RNA is filed under the name uncultured bacterium. RNAcentral describes it as "partial 16S ribosomal RNA". It matches the Rfam family "Bacterial small subunit ribosomal RNA", at positions 28 to 507 of the family's 1533-position model. The record is from RNAcentral.